AGACAUGGCAGUUUGAGCAACCCUGAUAACAGAAACCAACCAUGUUGGAAAAAAAAAUGUUUUUGGAUACAGAGCAGGAGGCAUGGGAAACCAAGGAAGGGCCUGCAGUAAACAAGGUGUACGUACACAUAGAAACAGAGAAAGUUCAGCAUAGGAAGAGAGA
Molecule: long non-coding RNA, 163 nt
Organism: Myotis brandtii (Brandt's bat)
Lineage: Eukaryota; Metazoa; Chordata; Mammalia; Chiroptera; Vespertilionidae
Exons: 3
Source: RefSeq, a predicted model, not a curated record